Molecule: ribosomal RNA, 253 nt
Filed under: uncultured bacterium
Lineage: Bacteria
Description: partial 16S ribosomal RNA
Rfam family: Bacterial small subunit ribosomal RNA
Source: RNAcentral
UACGAAGGGGGCUAGCGUUGCUCGGAAUCACUGGGCGUAAAGCGCACGUAGGCGGAUUGCUAAGUCAGGGGUGAAAUCCUGGAGCUCAACUCCAGAACUGCCUUUGAUACUGGCGGCCUUGAGUCCGGGAGAGGUGAGUGGAACUGCGAGUGUAGAGGUGAAAUUCGUAGAUAUUCGCAAGAACACCAGUGGCGAAGGCGGCUCACUGGCCCGGUACUGACGCUGAGGUGCGAAAGCGUGGGGAGCAAACAGG